AAAUUUGUGACUUGAUGGUUCUCUUGUAUGCUUGGCAUGCGCUUCCAGGAUUAAUUGACCUCUGCUGCUCCUUCCUUAUUCGAAAGUUGCUAUAUAAUGGAUUAAACAUCUCAUUCUUUACCUUCUCUUUUCCUGUAAAACGUAAAAUUGCAAUAGGUUCAACAUAAAGCCAUAUUGAAUUCGAUAUUAGCAAACGUCACUCUUUAAAAUUAACAAUGGAUUCUUUAGGACAACUGAGUUAUACAACAUAAAUUGAAUGGUCAACAGAAAUCAAUCUGAUAACUUCCCACAUACUUGUUUAUAUGAUAUGUUCUUUAACUUUACCAACAAAAAAAAAAGAUAAAGGUUUCAAAGCUGCACAAUUAAGAAAAUAUAUGUUAUGUGAGAUACAAAAACACACUGACAAGAAAAAUAUAAAUUAAAGCCAAGAUAUGUAUGGUUCCAACUUCCAAUAAGUAUGCCAUCUCAAAUUGCCCGAUGAAUCGAAGCAUCAUUAUACAUUAAAACAGGCACAUUGGAACGAGCCGCCCGGUUUUUUGAGAGUUGCAGCCUCGUUACCCUAUUUACUACUCAUUGUAUGUUUAACAGUUUUUAUGUGACUUGCCGGGAUAGUUGGUUCAGUUCCGAGGAUGUUUCGGAAUGAGUUGAGACACUUAAUUUCAAGGUUGGAAGCUUAAGUUGAAAAGGUUGACCGGAUGUUGACUUAUGUGUAAACGAUUCAGGAAUGGAGUUUUGAUGGUUCCGUUAGCUCCAUUGGGUGAUUUUGAACUUAAGAAUGUGUCCGAAUAGUGAGUUGGAAGUAUGUAGUUGAAUUAGGCUUGAAAUGGCGAAAGUUGAAAAAUUAGAAGCUUUGGAAAUUUAAAAGUUUGACCGAGAGUCAACUUUAUGGUUACCGAGCUCGAAUUUGGGUUCCGGGAGUUGGAGUAGGUCCGUUGUGUCUUUUGUAACUUGUGUGCAAAAUUUGAAGUCAAUCGGACUUGAUUUUAUAGGUUCAGUGUCGAAUGUAGAAGUUGAAAAUACAUAAGUGCAUUAGGCUUGAAUCGAGGCGCGAUUCGUGUUUUAGUGUUGUUUGAUGUGAUUUGAAGACUCAACUAAGUUCGUAUCAUAUUUUAGGACUUGUUGGUGUGUUUGGUUGAGCUCCCGAGGGUCUCGGGUAGAUUUCGGAUAGUUAACGGAUCCAUUUUUUGACUUAGAGAUUGGCAGAAGUUUAAUGGUGUCUCUGAUCUGGUUUCCUUAGAUGCGAUUGUGUGGACAGGUCUGCGAUCGGUAGGCUUAAUUGCUCAGUGGAGGACUUUGCUCUACACAUUCGUAAAAAGAGGGUUGCAAUCGCGUAGCUUAGAGAAACGAUGCAUCACGAACGCGCGAGCAAGGCCGCGUUCCCGUGCGUUCGCGAAGAGGAAAUGAGGUAGGAGCUGAGUCACGCGUUGUUCUUUGCGCUCGCGUGAAGAGGGUCGUGGUCGCAUAGGUCUGAGGAGGUAGUGGUUCGCAUUCACAGGAGUAAUGUUGUGUUCGCGUAAGGUUAAAUCUUUUGGCAGCUGAGUUGUGCUUCACAAUCGCGAAAAAUUUUCCACGAUCGUGAUGAAGGGUCAUCCCGGUAGAACUUAUAUAUUUCAAAACGAGGGUUUGAGUUCAUAUCACAAAUUUGGUAAGUGAUUCUUACCUAGUUUAGUUAAAUUUCAUGUUUACGUCUUUGAUUUUAUCAUUUAAUUAGUGAUUUGAGUUGGAAAAUUGGGGGAAAAUGGAGUAAAGUUCUUAGGCCGAAUUAUGGGGAUUUGAUCGAGAUGUUGGUAUCGGAUUUGAGUAAUUUUGGUAUGGGUGGACUCGUGGUUGAAUGGGCGUCCUGAUUUUGUGACAUUUAUUGGAUUCUGAGAUGUGGGUCCGGGAAUUAACUUUUGAGUUGACUUUUUGAAUUUUGAUUAAGAACUUAGUAAUUUCAUAUGGAAUUGAUUCCUUUAGCCCGUGUUGAUUGUAUCGAAUUGCUUGUGGCUAGAUUGGAGGCAUUCGGAGGUCGUUUCGCGAGGCAAUGGCGUGUUGGAGUAGACAUUUGCACUUCUAAACUUAGUUCUGAGGGUAUGAAACCUCAAAUUACAUGUUAUGUGAUUAUUGUUGAGGUGACGUACAUGCUAGGUGACGAGCGUGUGAGCGUGCACCGUAAGAAUUGAGACUUGGUCGAUUCCAUGGAACUGUAUAGUUGCAUAAUCUUACUGUUACCCAUAUUUUCACCAUGUGUUAGAGCAAUUGAGCUGCCAGUCAUGUUAGAAAUCCCACUUAGGCUCCGUGUUGGUACUAUUGGGACCUACCGAGGUUGUGUUACAUGUUGAAUUAUUUGAUUAAUUUGUCAAAUUAUACUCAAUCACAACUAUUAUUUGCAUAAUAUAUCUCAAUCUCUAUUGUCCUUUAUUUGAUACAUCAUGUCAUCAUUGUUUAAGCUAAUUCUCAUGAUUCUUGUGAACCCGAGAGACUAGAGAGAUUAAUGACUGAGGGUCUUUUGUGAGUGAUUUUCAUGGAAUCGGGCUACACGUUGCAGCAGACUUUAUUGAUUCAUGCCAGAAUUUGGCUUAUUAUAGCGCUUCGGCUGGAUCGGCCCCUCCAGAGUCUGCACAUCCACAAUGGGCGGAAUGCUAGUAGCUAAUUACAUUUGGGCUGGAUAUGCCCUAGUUUAUUUGCAUUUUGGGAUGGAUCUGCCCUGGGCUGAAGUUGCCUUGUUUUGCGUUGAGUUUUAUUGAAAAACCUGAAAGCAUGUCUAAAUUCUUGUACCUUUACUUGUAGAUUAUAAAUUUCUAAGAUAUCACUGUCAUAUUUGUUGUAAGUUUCUGUACUGUUGAUACUGCAUGUGGACUGUAUUACUCAAACUCGUCAUUACUUUCAGUCCAAAUGUUAGAUUUGUUACUUAAUGAGUUGGUUGUACUUACGCUACACAUACACCUCAUGAGCAGAUCCAGGUAUUUCCGGUAACAGCGGUUGUUGAUUCUCAGAGUUCAGACAUUCGGAGAUCAUCGAGGUAGCCGCUUUGGUGUCCGCUCGCCUUGACUCUCCUUCCUAUCUUUCAGUUUAUUUAAUUAGUUCUACUUUCUAGACAGUGUACCAGACUAUGCCAUUAUGUAGAUGCUCAUGUACCCAGUGAUCCCCCGAUUUUGAAAAAACUUAUGUAUUGAGUUAUGAUAUUCUAUCCUGUUUUAUGAGAAUUUUUUAUUUAUUUAGACUGUUGAAGUAUAUUUCAAAGAUUAAAAGUGUUGGACAUGUCUGAGUAGUCGGCUUGCCUAGUUCCACGAUAGGCGUCAUCAUGACUGGUUAGGUUUUAGCUCGUAACACACAUGCAGGGGCGGAGCUAUAAUUUUGUUUACAAGUUUGGCACAACCCGGUACCUUUGACCCAGACCCUAUUGUUGUAUUUAGAAAACCACUAAAUAUGUAAAUAUAAUUUAUCAAGAACAUAAUAAGCUACCUUUUGUAGAAUCCAAAACCAAUAAACCCAAGAUCUUAGCUCAGCCUCUGGGCACUGGCAAAUAGGUACAGAACCAGUGUAAGCAAUGAAUCCUGCAUACACAGAAAUGAAUUAUUACACACUUGACAGUUGAGACUAAGGCGGAUAAGCCAGACAAGAACGACGAUUUGAAUGUAUGAGCAAUAGUAAAAUGAAGCAUACUAAGCAUGCCAAAUCUGUCUUUUAUCAAAUUCAAUCAUCUUCAAAGGUUAAUGAAGCAGACCAAGAAUGAUAACAAAGGUUAAUUAGGGUCCUAAUUAACACAAGGUGUGAGAAAUGAAGAGAAAAAAAUACAGAUUGCAUGGCGUACUAAUCUGGGGAAAACAUCCACAAAGGUUUCAUUUGUUCAUUAAUAUGCAUAUAUUUGUGACUUAAUCUAAACCUAGCCUUUAGUUAUUUCACAAAGAUCAAAUAUAAAUCAUCUUAAUUGCUUUCUCAUUAACACGUCGAUAAAUUUCAACGUGCGAAGACGAAACGAGUCAAUAGCAAAAUCCCCAAAAGCUAAUUAAAUGUUAUUAUGGGGGAAAACUGAUUUUGAAAUCAAUUAGAGCAUACUUACCGUUUCUUGAUAGAAUUAUGGGGAAGAUGUUGCAAUUGGCAGGUAAUGAGCGUUUUCCACAAAGGAAAUCAUCAGAUAAUUUUGGAGUAAACCAAUAUUGGAUUCACAAGGUUCAAUCUUUAGCUGCAUCAUAGAGGUAUUUG
RNAcentral lists this long non-coding RNA (4185 nucleotides) under Nicotiana tabacum (common tobacco). RNAcentral describes it as "long non-coding RNA (NTAB_LNC012168)". Lineage: Eukaryota; Viridiplantae; Streptophyta; Magnoliopsida; Solanales; Solanaceae. The record is from RNAcentral.